GUGAAAAGCACCCCGACGAGGGGAGUGAAACAGUUCCUGAAACCGGAUGCUUACAAACAGUGGGAGCCCAAGGCGAGUCCUUCAGUGGAUGUCCUGGGUGACUGCGUACCUUUUGUAUAAUGGGUCAGCGACUUAUAUUUUGUAGCGAGGUUAACCGAAUAGGGGAGCCGUAGCGAAAGCGAGUCUUAACUGGGCGCUUAGUUGCAAGGUAUAGACCCGAAACCCGGUGAUCUAGCCAUGGGCAGGUUGAAGGUUGAGUAACAUCAACUGGAGGACCGAACCCACUAACUUUGAAAAGUUAGGGGAUGACCUGUGGCUGGGGGUGAAAGGCCAAUCAAACCGGGAGAUAGCUGGUUCUCCCCGAAAGCUAUUUAGGUAGCGCCUCGGACGAAUACCAUUGGGGGUAGAGCACUGUUUGGGCUAGGGGGUCAUCCCGACUUACCAACCCCAUGCAAACUCCGAAUACCAAUGAGUACUAUCCGGGAGACACACGGCGGGUGCUAACGUCCGUCGUGGAGAGGGAAACAACCCAGACCGCCAGCUAAGGUCCCCAAAUAUUGCUAAGUGGGAAACGAUGUGGGAAGGCUCAGACAGCUAGGAGGUUGGCUUAGAAGCAGCCAUCCUUUAAAGAAAGCGUAAUAGCUCACUAGUCGAGU
This 656-nucleotide ribosomal RNA is filed under the name Alexandrium monilatum. RNAcentral's name for it is "partial Bacterial large subunit ribosomal RNA". It matches the Rfam family "Bacterial large subunit ribosomal RNA", at positions 514 to 1154 of the family's 2925-position model. Lineage: Eukaryota; Dinophyceae; Gonyaulacales; Pyrocystaceae. The record is from RNAcentral.